This 253-nucleotide ribosomal RNA is filed under the name uncultured bacterium. RNAcentral's name for it is "partial 16S ribosomal RNA". It matches the Rfam family "Bacterial small subunit ribosomal RNA", at positions 524 to 776 of the family's 1533-position model. The record is from RNAcentral.
UACAGAGGUCUCAAGCGUUGUUCGGAUUUACUGGGCGUAAAGGGCGCGUAGGCGGUGCGGUAAGUCACUUGUGAAAUCUCUGAGCUUAACUCAGAACGGCCAAGUGAUACUGCAGUACUAGAGUGCGGAAGGGGCAAUCGGAAUUCUUGGUGUAGCGGUGAAAUGCGUAGAUAUCAAGAGGAACACCUGAGGUGAAGACGGGUUGCUGGGCCGACACUGACGCUGAUGCGCGAAAGCCAGGGGAGCAAACGGG